This 93-nucleotide ribosomal RNA is filed under the name uncultured eukaryote. RNAcentral's name for it is "partial 18S ribosomal RNA". The record is from RNAcentral.
UGGUGGAGUGAUUUGUCUGGUUAAUUCCGAUAACGAACGAGACCUUUACCUUUACUGCUGAGGGGGCGUGGUCCAUGCGGAUCAGGCUGCCCG